CCUGGCUCAGAUUGAACGCUGGCGGCAUGCCUUACACAUGCAAGUCGAACGGCAGCACGGGUGCUUGCACCUGGUGGCGAGUGGCGAACGGGUGAGUAAUAUAUCGGAACGUGCCCAGUCGUGGGGGAUAACGUAGUGAAAAUUACGCUAAUACCGCAUACGAUCUAAGGAUGAAAGCGGGGGAUCGCAAGACCUCGCGCGAUUGGAGCGGCCGAUAUCAGAUUAGGUAGUUGGUGAGGUAAAGGCUCACCAAGCCAACGAUCUGUAGCUGGUCUGAGAGGACGACCAGCCACACUGGGACUGAGACACGGCCCAGACUCCUACGGGAGGCAGCAGUGGGGAAUUUUGGACAAUGGGCGCAAGCCUGAUCCAGCAAUGCCGCGUGCAGGAAGAAGGCCUUCGGGUUGUAAACUGCUUUUGUACGGAACGAAACGGUCUGGGUUAAUACCCUGGGCUAAUGACGGUACCGUAAGAAUAAGCACCGGCUAACUACGUG
RNAcentral lists this ribosomal RNA (496 nucleotides) under uncultured bacterium. RNAcentral describes it as "bacterial SSU rRNA". It matches the Rfam family "Bacterial small subunit ribosomal RNA", at positions 18 to 507 of the family's 1533-position model. The record is from RNAcentral.